This 473-nucleotide long non-coding RNA is filed under the name Hordeum vulgare. Its description in RNAcentral is "long non-coding RNA (HVUL_LNC016475)". Lineage: Eukaryota; Viridiplantae; Streptophyta; Magnoliopsida; Poales; Poaceae. The record is from RNAcentral.
UCAUUCUGGUUAAGACUUGUCCCGCAAGACCCAAGUUUGGUACUCAUUUUGCUAAACAACUUAAUAAUAAAGCAUAGGGAAUAUCUACCCCGUAGAUAAUUAGUCAACCCCCCCCCCCGAGGCCAGUGCUCUGGUGGCCGCGAGGGGAACUCUGCGAUUGUCCUACCGGAAGUUUGGACAAUCCGGUCGUGUCAUGAGAAUGAGAUACACGGCUACUAUCGGGUUCGUCGACACAUCGGGCGGUCUUGCUGGAUUUGUCUUCACCUCCUCGAGGUGUCUUGUGCAUCGGGAUUCCGAGGAUAUUUUUGGCUAUCUCAAGGUUGAGGUUUUCCAGUAAGGAAUCCGAGGAGAUCACGGGUUUUAUAUGACCAAGGCUUCCUAUGUAGCUUGUGGUAAUUUGUGAUGGAUUAGUUGGAGCACUCCCUGCUCGGUUAAGAUCUUUCAAAAAGUCGUGCCAGCAGUUAUGUGGCAAC